Molecule: long non-coding RNA, 940 nt
Filed under: Homo sapiens (human)
Lineage: Eukaryota; Metazoa; Chordata; Mammalia; Primates; Hominidae
Description: MIR205 host gene (MIR205HG)
Source: RNAcentral
CUUGAAAUGGGCUGAGUCCCUCUUGCUCACCCUUGACUUGGAAAAACCAGUUUCUCUUUUAUUGUCUGUUACUAAUCUCUAUUCUAAAAAUUCAGCUCAAUUCUCAACCAUACUCCAAACUCUCUCUUUUCCAGCUACCUUUACUCCCUCUCCUUCAAUUCCACUUUCCUCUGCUUACUUUUUUUUUUUUUCUGACAGGGUCUCACUUUGUCGCCCGGGCAGGAGUGCAGUGGCUCAAUCUUGGGCUCACUGCAGCCUCAACCUCCCAGAGGCGGGGUUUCACCAUGUUGCCCAGACUGGUCUUGAACUCCUGAGCUUAAGCAAUCCACCUGCCUCGGCCUCCCAAAGUGUUGGGAUCACAGGCGUGAGCCACCGCAUCCGGCCUCAUGUUCUUUUUCAUUAAAGAGAGAAAUCAACUAUUCAGGACCGGCCCCCACCUUUCCUCAGGAGUCAUUUCUGUUCCGCACAGGCCUGCUGAACUGGGUGCUUUAUAUAGGAAAGGACCAACCACACCGAGCUCAGUUAUGGCACACACAGUGGGACCUAGACAAAGGGAGAGGGUGACCGACAUCCCAACUAGAUUUCAGUGGAGUGAAGUUCAGGAGGCAUGGAGCUGACAACCAUGAGGCCUCGGCAGCCACCGCCACCACCGCCGCCGCCACCACCGUAGCAGCAGCAGCAGCAGCAGCAGCAGCAGCAGCAGCAGCAAGAGUAACUCUGACUUAGGAAUAGAGACAGCCAGAGAGAAAUGUGAUCAAUGAAGGAGACAUCUGGAGUGUGCGUGCUUCUUCAGAGGGACGGGUGAUGGGCAGAUUGGAAAAAGCACCGCAGAUGGGAACCUUAAUCUUUCUUUUCUAAAAUUGAUGCUAUGAAAAUUUGCGUUUUCUGUAACUUGUAAAAACUAAAAGUUGCUUGUCUACUGAAAAAAAAAAAAAAAAAA